Molecule: non-coding RNA, 74 nt
Organism: Ciona savignyi (Pacific transparent sea squirt)
Lineage: Eukaryota; Metazoa; Chordata; Ascidiacea; Phlebobranchia; Cionidae
Source: Rfam
GGCCGGUUAGCUCAGUUGGUUAUAGCGUCGUGCUAAUAACGCGAAUGUCGCGGGUUCCAUCCCCGUACUGGCCA